Molecule: ribosomal RNA, 499 nt
Filed under: Vibrio sp.
Lineage: Bacteria; Pseudomonadati; Pseudomonadota; Gammaproteobacteria; Vibrionales; Vibrionaceae
Description: bacterial SSU rRNA
Rfam family: Bacterial small subunit ribosomal RNA
Source: RNAcentral
UCGGGGAACGAUAACGGCGUCGAGCGGCGGACGGGUGAGUAAUGCCUAGGAAAUUGCCCUGAUGUGGGGGAUAACCAUUGGAAACGAUGGCUAAUACCGCAUGAUGCCUACGGGCCAAAGAGGGGGACCUUCGGGCCUCUCGCGUCAGGAUAUGCCUAGGUGGGAUUAGCUAGUUGGUGAGGUAAGGGCUCACCAAGGCGACGAUCCCUAGCUGGUCUGAGAGGAUGAUCAGCCACACUGGAACUGAGACACGGUCCAGACUCCUACGGGAGGCAGCAGUGGGGAAUAUUGCACAAUGGGCGCAAGCCUGAUGCAGCCAUGCCGCGUGUGUGAAGAAGGCCUUCGGGUUGUAAAGCACUUUCAGUCGUGAGGAAGGUGGUGUAGUUAAUAGCUGCAUUAUUUGACGUUAGCGACAGAAGAAGCACCGGCUAACUCCGUGCCAGCAGCCGCGGUAAUACGGAGGGUGCGAGCGUUAAUCGGAAUUACUGGGCGUAAAGCG